Molecule: non-coding RNA, 594 nt
Organism: Oryctolagus cuniculus (rabbit)
Lineage: Eukaryota; Metazoa; Chordata; Mammalia; Lagomorpha; Leporidae
Source: RefSeq, a predicted model, not a curated record
ACCGGUCCCGGCAGUUUGCGGUCCAGCUUUCCUGUGAGCACUUCCUCUUGCGGCCCUAGCGGGGGCUGGCUGCACCCCUAGGCACGCACACACUCGGGCUUCCUACGCCGUCUCUUCUGUUCCUGACUCCUAAGGUCGGGAUGAGGAAUUAACUAAGGAGAAUUAAGGUGACUCCAGCUGGUGCCCAGGAAAGACUGAAUGCCAUGGUUGCUGGGUGACCUUGCAAAGGACUCUUACCCUACCCGAUCCUUUUGCCUGAGUGGCCGACAAGAACCGAAUAGUUAAAAACGGAAACCUCUCUGCUAUGGCUGCCACGUGAGACCCAGAGGAAGCUCCUGGCUCCUGGUUUUGGAUCAGCACAGCUCCGGCCGUUGCGGCCUUCUGGUUCCCUGAUAUGGCCUGAGAAAGCAGCAAAAGAUGGCCCAAGUCCUUGGGCCUCUGCACCUACGUGGGAGAUCUCGAAGAAGCUCCUGGCUCCUGGCUUUGGAUCGGCCCAGCUCCAGCUAUCUGGGGAGGGAACCAGUGGAUGGAAGAGCUCUCUCUCUCUCCCUCCCUCCCUCCCUUCCUCUCUCUAUCUAUCUCUCUGUACUUCUC